Molecule: ribosomal RNA, 305 nt
Filed under: uncultured bacterium
Lineage: Bacteria
Description: bacterial SSU rRNA
Rfam family: Bacterial small subunit ribosomal RNA
Source: RNAcentral
AGUCGCCUACGGGGGGCAGCAGUGAGGAAUAUUGGUCAAUGGGAGAGAUCCUGAACCAGCCAAGCCGCGUGAGGGAAGACGGCCCUAUGGAUUGUAAACCUCUUUAGGCGGGGAGCAAUGCCGGGCACGUGUAGCCGGACUGAGAGUACCUGAAGAAAAAGCAUCGGCUAACUCCGUGCCAGCAGCCGCGGUAAUACGGAGGAUGCGAGCGUUAUCCGGAUUUAUUGGGUUUAAAGGGUGCGUAGGCGGAAUGCCAAGUCAGCGGUAAAAUCGCGGGGCUCAACCUCGCUCCGCCGUUGAAACUC